Molecule: small nuclear RNA, 292 nt
Filed under: Chinchilla lanigera (long-tailed chinchilla)
Lineage: Eukaryota; Metazoa; Chordata; Mammalia; Rodentia; Chinchillidae
Description: 7SK RNA (ENSCLAG00000021464.1)
Rfam family: 7SK RNA
About the family: 7SK was discovered as an abundant small nuclear RNA in the mid-70s but a possible function has only recently been suggested. Two independent studies have found that 7SK RNA binds the CDK9/cyclin T complex (known as elongation factor P-TEFb).
Source: Rfam by way of RNAcentral
GGAUUUGAGGGCCAUCUGCCUGUGACAUCUGUCCCCCCCAUUGAUCACCAGGCUUGAUUUAGUUGAACUGGCUGGCCAGGCAGGUGUCCCCUUGCUCCCUCACCACUCGGGCAUCCCUCCUGAAGCUGCAUGCUAGGUUGAAGAGGACAAAACCACCCAAUAGAGGAGGACUGUUUCCUCGGUCAGGGGUGUAUGAGCAGCUGUGCUCCCCUGCUAGAACCUCCAAAUAAGCUCUCAAAAUAAGUACAUGAAGCCAUGCCUAAAUUAAUGAAAAUUUAAAUGAACUUCCUUU